UACGUAGGGUGCAAGCGUUGUCCGGAAUUAUUGGGCGUAAAGAGCUCGUAGGCGGUUUGUUGCGUCGGCCGUGAAAACCUGCAGCUUAACUGUGGGCCUGCGGCCGAUACGGGCAGACUUGAGUUCGGUAGGGGAGACUGGAAUUCCUGGUGUAGCGGUGAAAUGCGCAGAUAUCAGGAGGAACACCGGUGGCGAAGGCGGUUCUCUGGGCAUUACCUGACGCUGAGGAGCGAAAGUGUGGGGAGCGAACAGG
This 253-nucleotide ribosomal RNA is filed under the name uncultured bacterium. RNAcentral describes it as "partial 16S ribosomal RNA". It matches the Rfam family "Bacterial small subunit ribosomal RNA", at positions 524 to 776 of the family's 1533-position model. The record is from RNAcentral.